This 260-nucleotide long non-coding RNA is filed under the name Malus domestica (apple). RNAcentral describes it as "long non-coding RNA (MDOM_LNC020073)". The record is from RNAcentral. Lineage: Eukaryota; Viridiplantae; Streptophyta; Magnoliopsida; Rosales; Rosaceae.
AAAGUUUAAUACAUUAAGUAUUCCAAAAAGCUAUUACAUCAAAUGAGUGGCUUUGUGGGCAUACUUCCAACAUCAUGUGUGGAGAAGAACCUCCUAGCUAGCCUUCCAUCCAUUCAAUUUACUUGUUUUGUUUUCAAAUUCUUCAAAACCAAAACCCCCUUUACUUUAAAGUGUUUUAUUAGUCAAACUCUGUUUUGAUUUGUGUUUUUAGGUGUCCCAAAAGUGUCUUAGAGUCCAAAUCUGCCCAGUUUGUGUUUUUA